Molecule: long non-coding RNA, 2606 nt
Organism: Triticum dicoccoides
Lineage: Eukaryota; Viridiplantae; Streptophyta; Magnoliopsida; Poales; Poaceae
Exons: 2
Source: RefSeq, a predicted model, not a curated record
GGUGUCGUUUCUUGGUCCGGCGAUGGUUGUUCCCGCUGCUGCUCGGUCCGGACGACGCCGUCGGGGCCGCCCUCCUGGGAUUCGGGCGGCCGUUAUUGCGAGUCGCCACUGAAGCACACCCCCGCGCCGUUGCUGCGUCUCUGGAAUCUCGGCGACGCUCCCAUUCCUCCCCCCACCGCCCGCAAUUCCCAUCCUCUCCUCUUGAGCUCUCUUCGCGAUCCCCUACCCUCCCUCCUCGACGAGCAUCGAUCUGGCCGGAUCCUGCAAUACACACACGGAUCCGGCGUAACCAUCACGGCGGCGGGCCACCAGGACUGGACGGAUUGCCGCUCGCCGAUGUUGCUGCUGUCGCCUCUGCCAAAGUAGCGGACGCUGCGGUGGACCAAUUUGGGCUGGAGGGGUCGCGUCGCUCAGCUGGUCGCCUCCAACGCCCCCAGCAUGAGCGGCAACGAGGCGCCCGAUAAUGCCCCCCUGCGGCGGCAGCGGUAAGGCGCUCGCAGCAGGGGCAUACCGGUGAGCGCGGACGCCUGGAGUGGCUGGCGUGUUUGCGGGGAAAGCACGAUGGGUGGGGCCACACGCAUCGCCCUCCGCUCCUUCACUUCCCGCUGCAGGCAGUGGUUUUCCUCCGUCAACGAUCCAAAGCAGCGUUUCAGGUGCUCCCACUCCAUAUCCAUAUGCUUUAGCUUAGUCCCUCCCUGAUCUCUAAUUGCUCCGUUGGUGUGAAGUCUCUCAGAUUUGGGGCCACAAGGGUUCCUAAGGAACAAGCAGGCAACAAGGGAAGACGUGGGGUGGGUCAUGUUUGUGGAGAUGCCCAACUGACUCAAAAGGGUGACCUUGGGCAGCGUGGUGUACGCGGUGAGUGGUGACUGAUCUCCCAUUUUUGUUUUCUCAAUUUCAUGUUGAUUUCCGAGCGUCGCGUUGCUGUUUAUCCGGCUAACAAAUGUGACUAUCUGAAUCUUUUCUAAUGGUGGUUCAGCUAUAAAUCAGCAUCAUCAAUAACCAAAUCCGGUUUCACAUGCAUUCAGUUGACAAUCAGUUUGUAUGCCUGUGAUAUAUUCAUUUGAAUCAGUGACUUGUGUACAGAUGCUCCAAAACAAACAACAUUCUUAGGUCCUUAACUGUGUUCACAUGUUGAUUCUCGAAGGUAUGCUCUCCAAUGACAUGAUCACUGUUGGGAUGUCCCUGAAAGGUGACGAUUCCUGAUUCAACAGAAGCCAGAUGGAGACCAUUAGGCAGUAUGGUCGCAUCCCUCAGAGUUGCUAAGGUGUGUUAUGUACUGAUCAAUCAAAACAAUUGUAGAUUACAGUUGAUCCCGUCGUCCGAUGGUUCAUGCACCUGAGUAACUGCCACUGAUCCCCCUUCGAUGUGAUACAACGAGCAUGAGCACGGGGACGAAAACUAAGUGCGACUGAUUGUGUCUUGAUUCACGAGGUUAGUAUAAGGCAAGCUGUUCAAAUUUUCAUGAUGCAACAGCCAUCAAGUAUUGAAUUGGGACUUCCAAACCGGUAUUACUAAAUACUGGGAGAUGGACUAUUUUUCAGGUUUCUCUUGUGAUUUUUCAAUGUAGGACCUGAAUAGGUGAGAAGCAGAAGAAUGCGGGGCGACUAAUUAUUUGCAAUAUUUUUUUAUUUUAAACAUGAUUAUGUGAGAUAUUAUACUUGUUCACACGGUAAGUAUUAGUUCCUCAUCUCUGUACGAAGGAGGCAGUGAGCAUGAACCAAAUAAUUGGUCCUACAUAAUUUUGUUUGUGUGCUCCAGUGCAAAAAAAAUAACCAUAUGGUACAACAAGGUUUCUCUUCGGUGGUAUAAAAACAACAUCACAUUUGAAUUGGUUUAAAUUUUCCUUCAUGAUUCCGACACAAUGAAAAUAUUCUUAGCUGCUAAUUAUCUUUCUAUGUAAAUUUAUCAUGUAAUGAUGAAGCAAGUUGUCUCAUAUUUUAAUGCAAAGACGUGCCUUCACAAUUUUAAUAGUAGAAAAAACUCACUUUGCUCUUGCCAUUGAGACAGAGGGCUAUAUGUAUAAUUUCAUUGAAAGUCCAAGUCCGUUAUUAACCAUUCUCUUUCGUCUUUUGAGCAUAGUCCAUACAUUUGAAUGUGAAUUGUAAACUUAGCAUCAGUAUGGACCUUACUAGCAGUAUUGACCAAGAUAACUGAGAUACGACCAACACUUGGUUGCUUCAUGAAAUCGGUACAUGGAAAUUGCUGUUAGGGAAUGUGUAGGCAACUAGACAGGUAUAUUAGUAAGAAGUGUAUUUUCGCUGUUAUUAGGUUACGUAACAGUUGACAUUGUGGUCUAAUUUCAGAUCUGUUUUGCAGCUGCCUUGGUCGUCGUCCCUCCUGGCUCAAAGGAAUAGAGCACCAAGUCCUUGAAGAAAACUCCCAAGCAAAAAGAAGAAGAAAAGAAAGGAGUUGUGGCUAAGGAAACAAAAAGAAAAAAAAGACUAUUGUAGUCCGGUAAUCCUCUGAAAUGAUAAAGACGACCGCUAGCCAGUCCUUGCUGAGUUCAAGCUCACACUUUAGUUAUCCUGUUGUAAUCCAUUGUCUAAUCAUACUUACAUGUCUACCAACAAUGUAAUCAGUUCAAUGAAUAAAUUUUUGCACCACCA